Molecule: ribosomal RNA, 272 nt
Filed under: uncultured soil bacterium
Lineage: Bacteria
Description: partial 16S ribosomal RNA
Rfam family: Bacterial small subunit ribosomal RNA
Source: RNAcentral
AGAAUCAACGCUGGCGGCGUGCCUAACACAUGCAAGUCGAGCGCGAAAGGGGAGCAAUCCCCGAGUAGAGCGGCGAACGGGUGAGUAACGCGUGGGUAAUCUACCUCCGAGUGGGGAAUAACAGCGGGAAACUGCUGCUAAUACCGCAUGACAUCGUCGAGCCUUCGGGCAUGACGAUCAAAGCCGGGGACCGCAAGGCCUGGCGCUUGGAGACGAGCCCGCGUCCGAUUAGCUAGUUGGCGGGUAAUGGCCCACCAAGGCGACGAUCGGUA